Molecule: long non-coding RNA, 1164 nt
Filed under: Marmota monax (woodchuck)
Lineage: Eukaryota; Metazoa; Chordata; Mammalia; Rodentia; Sciuridae
Source: RNAcentral
CUUGUUUCGAGGAGAAGUGGCCGGGCACAGACAGCCGGGGUAGGCAGUGAGGUUUCACUUGACCUUGCCUCGGUCAGCUGUGGCUGCUGUGACGAAUACCCAGACAGUGGGACUCAGCCAACAGACAUUUAUGACCCUGAAGUCCAAGAUCAGGGUGCUGGCAGGCCUGGGUCCUGGUGAGGGCUCUCUUCCUGGCCCAUAGGCGGCCGCCUUCUUGCAUGUCCUCAGGUGGUAGAAAGAGAGGCCGCUCGUUUUUUCUCUUCUUUAGAGAAGGUAGCCUCCCACGGGUGGAGACUCAGGACCUCGUCUGAACCUAGGACUCCCCACAGGCCCCACCUGCUAGUUCCAUUAUGUUGGGGGUGGGCGUCAACCUGUGAGUGUGUAGGGGCCACGCAUCAGCCCAUAGCAAGGUCAUUGGGCUCAGUCUCCCUUAAAUCAAUGCACAAAUCCCGAGGUCCACUUAGGGGACAGUGUGCCCUGUGCUCCCUCCAGUCACAGAAAGCCCACUGCCUCUAGGCCCUGUCUCACUUGAGUCUCUACCUGGCCCCCCCUGGCUUAAAAGUCCUGGGGUGGCCCCUCACCCCUUCUCCUUUGACCUCAGCGUGAAUCCCAGCUCUGCCGGGGUGCACAGGAGCCUGCGGCACUCACCCCAUGCUGUGCAUCUUCUAGCCCUCUUCCCACCUGCCCCCCAGCUGUCUCCUUUCCUGACAGGCUCUAAGCACCCCUGGGACUUGGCACCUGUGUCCCCCCUUCCCCUGCCUGGUCACUGGGCUGACUCUGACCUCUAGGCCACGCAUGCCUCAGCUCAGGUGUCAUUACCCUGAUCCGGCCACCAUCCCACCCUCUUCUGAAUUAGAUGCAGCUUUGUCCUCCCACAGUGAACGGGGCCUGCACCUGCCACCUGUCACCUGAGUGCUCUAGAAACUGCCCGCUGAGGCUCCAGCUGCUGUCCCAACGGUGAGCUCUAGCCAGGAAGGGCCAUGCCUGCCUUGUUAAUGAUGGUGUGUUCAGUGUCUGGCUCCAGGCAGAGGGGGCACUUGGUGACACUUAUGGGAACGAGUCAAAAGGUGAAUUAAGAAUGUCAUCCAAAUGCCGAAUGUUUUCUCUGAUAUAAGGUGAUUGACUCAUAAUGGGGUAGGGAGGGGGAGCAUGGGACAAAUAGAG